This 71-nucleotide transfer RNA is filed under the name Marmota monax (woodchuck). It matches the Rfam family "tRNA". From Rfam's summary of the family: Transfer RNA (tRNA) molecules are approximately 80 nucleotides in length. Their secondary structure includes four short double-helical elements and three loops (D, anti-codon, and T loops). Lineage: Eukaryota; Metazoa; Chordata; Mammalia; Rodentia; Sciuridae. The record is from Rfam by way of RNAcentral.
GAGGUUGUAGCUCAGUGGUAGAGCACUUGCCUAGCAUGUGGGGGGCACUGGGUUCGAUCCUCAGCAUCCCA